Centruroides sculpturatus (bark scorpion) is the source of this 772-nucleotide long non-coding RNA. RefSeq lists it as uncharacterized. The record is from RefSeq and is a predicted model, not a curated record. Lineage: Eukaryota; Metazoa; Arthropoda; Arachnida; Scorpiones; Buthidae. The transcript is spliced from 3 exons.
CAUUAAAUGACGUUUAAUUGAGGAACGAACGAACGAAUUUUGAUUUUUUUGAAUCGAUACUUAAUAAUAUUGAUGGAGAGAAAAUGUCAAAUUCUUGAUUAAUGUACAGAUCAUGACAUGAUAAGAAUUAUUUAAUGAUGAUUACCAACAUAUUCGAAACCUAUGAUGAUGAUGACAGAAAGAGUACAGAAUUACAAAUGAUAAUUAGUGAUUUCGGAUAAAGAAUUAAUACAUAUUCUAUACAUAUCUGACAUUAUUCGAUGUCCUAUCCUAUAAAUAUUUUAACAGGGUCUUAAUUAUGUAAAGAUAUCAUCAUAAAUAUAUCACUACAGGUCAAUCGAAGAACAAAACUGAAUAUCAUAGACUGCAAUUACAGAUAUCAAAGGAAUGCUAUUCCAAGUCUUAACGCCUCUUCGAAACCUCAUAAAAUUUCCCAUCUGCUUGUAAUUAUUCCGCACUCGUAUAAUCUACACAGGGAUCAACAACUCUCCAAGGAAGAAGAGGGGAAAAAUCAACCACCAAAGUAGCAUUCCGUCGCAUUUAACCUGUUAUUAAACUAUUAGUUUAUCAAGGACAUCGCCGGGUUGAUUUUUUUUGGGCAAAGUUUUGUUUGGUUUGUUGGUCGAAUGAAGAGGAAUGGCACACUCGACUAGUGUCAGAAAUGUGCGAGAAGCGUGUCGGAUGACUUAAUGAAAGGGUAAAAAUCAAUUAGUUGUGCAGUUAAAGUUAACCCGAAGAAAAAAAUAAUAAAAAAAUACAGUUGUGUGUUCUA